UAGGGAAUCUUCCACAAUGGGCGCAAGCCUGAUGGAGCAACACCGCGUGAGUGAAGAAGGGUUUCGGCUCGUAAAGCUCUGUUGUUGGAGAAGAACGUGCGUAAGAGUAACUGUUUACGCAGUGACGGUAUCCAACCAGAAAGUCACGGCUAACUACGUGCCAGCAGCCGCGGUAAUACGUAGGUGGCAAGCGUUAUCCGGAUUUAUUGGGCGUAAAGCGAGCGCAGGCGGUUGCUUAGGUCUGAUGUGAAAGCCUUCGGCUUAACCGAAGAAGUGCAUCGGAAACCGGGCGACUUGAGUGCAGAAGAGGACAGUGGAACUCCAUGUGUAGCGGUGGAAUGCGUAGAUAUAUGGAAGAACACCAGUGGCGAAGGCGGCUGUCUGGUCUGCAACUGACGCUGAGGCUCGAAAGCAUGGGUAGCGAACAGGAUUAGAUACCCUGGUAGUCCAUGCCGUAAACGAUGAGUGCUAGGUGUUGGAGGGUUUCCGCCCUUCAGUGCCGGAGCUAACGCAUUAAGCACUCCGCCUGGGGAGUACGACCGCAAGGUU
This 549-nucleotide ribosomal RNA is filed under the name uncultured bacterium. RNAcentral describes it as "bacterial SSU rRNA". It matches the Rfam family "Bacterial small subunit ribosomal RNA", at positions 355 to 895 of the family's 1533-position model. The record is from RNAcentral.